Molecule: ribosomal RNA, 418 nt
Filed under: uncultured archaeon
Lineage: Archaea
Description: partial 16S ribosomal RNA
Rfam family: Archaeal small subunit ribosomal RNA
Source: RNAcentral
CUACGGGUUGCAGCAGGCGCGAAACUUCUACAAUGCGCGAAAGCGUGAUAGGGGGAUUCCUAGUGCUAGCUUUGCUAGCUUUUGUUAGGUGUAAAUAACCUGGCGAAUAAGUGGAGGGUAAGACACGUGCCAGCCGCCGCGGUAAUACGUGCUCCGCAAGUGGUAAUCGUGAGUAUUGGGCCUAAAACAUCCGUAGCCGGUUUGGUGUGUUCUUUGUGAAAUCAGCAGGCUUAACUUGCUGAAUUGCAGAGAAUACUGCCUGGCUAGAGGCCGGGAGACGUAAAUGGUAUUUCAUGGGUAGCGGUGAAAUGUGAUAAUCCAUGAAGGACCACCAGUAGCGAAGGCGAUUUACGAGAACGGACCUGACGGUGAGGGAUGAAAGCUGGGGGAGCGACCCGGAUUAGAUACCCCAGUAGUC